AGCUCCAAUAGCGUAUAUUAAAGUUGUUGCAGUUAAAAAGCUCGUAGUUGGAUUUCUGCUGGAAGCGACCGGUCCGCUCUUUCAGAGUGUGUACCUGGUUUUGGUUUCAGCAUCCUUCUGGGGAACGUGUUGCACUUCAUUGAGUGAUACGUAUUCCAGAACUUUUACUUUGAAUAAAUUAGAGUGUUUCAAGCAGGCUUUUGCUUUGAAUGCUGCAGCAUGGAAUAAUAACAUAGGACUUUGGUUCUAUUUUGUUGGUUCCUAGGACUGAAGUAAUGAUUAAUAGGGACAGUUGGGGGCAUUCGUACUUAACUGCUAGAGGUGAAAUUCUUAGAUUUGUUAAAGACGAACUACUGCGAAAGCAUUUGCCAAGGAUGUUUUCGUUAAUCAAGAACGAAAG
Molecule: ribosomal RNA, 400 nt
Filed under: phytoplankton environmental sample
Lineage: Eukaryota
Description: partial small subunit ribosomal RNA
Rfam family: Eukaryotic small subunit ribosomal RNA
Source: RNAcentral